GCUGUCCAAUUCAGCAACAUAUCAGCAGACUCGGGUAACCUGUUUCUUUGUUACAAUAAACAUUGUUUCGUCAAUGCCUGACUCAGCUCAUUCUUAGAAAGAAUUUAAUAUUGGCGACGAGGAUGGGAUGCUGCCUGAAAGCUGAGGAAGAACAGAGCCGGAGAAGGAAAUCAGUGUUCAAUGGAAAUUGAUACCGGCUCAUCGCUAUCCAUUGUAUCCUGGAGCACUUUAAAAAGGAAGUGCACUCAGUCAGGAGAUAUUCGAAAAAGAACAGUCAUCUCACCACUGCCAGCAUCAACAAGAAUUAUAUAUGCUGCAAUUUGUGCCUGUGGUAAUGUACAUACUGUAUGCUGAGUGGCCUUGCAACACCAGAGAACUAAACAUCCAUCAAAGUAAUCAGUGAGCUCCAAGAUAGAAGCAAAGAAUGUUACACCCACUUGG
RNAcentral lists this long non-coding RNA (441 nucleotides) under Naja naja (Indian cobra). RNAcentral's name for it is "lncRNA (ENSNNAG00000010808.1)". Lineage: Eukaryota; Metazoa; Chordata; Lepidosauria; Squamata; Elapidae. The record is from RNAcentral.